UACAUAUCUGAAAAGCGGCUGGACGAUCUCUGAUUGAGCUUGCAGCAUUUCGAUAGUCAAGGAGGGUGUUCGUUCGUUCGUUCGUUCGUUCGCUCGCUCGCUCGCUCGCUAGCGCCGAAAUAUCCUCCGGGUGGGACAUCUGACGCUACGAUUUUUUCGCCGGACACCGACGUCUUGACGCCACAAACAGCCAGUUCGCAGCAAGAGGACGUUGUCUGGCAGAAGCCGCCUUUGAACGUAGCACUUCAUGGCUUCGGAUUUUUUGACGAAUGUAACUGACCUCAUUGAUGUGCUCUUAAUUCUGGAGGGAAUGUUGCCAUGGUUGUGGUGUCCGUCACAGUAGUGUAACAUAGUAGCUGAUAGACAAAGUACCGAUCGCUGGCCGACAUUAGCAAUGGCGAACGAAGCAGUUAUCCAAGUAUAAGCUACUUCGUUUGAAGCGCAAAAGUAACACUAACUAGAUCAGGAACGGAGCUACAAGUGACCGGUCUCACUAUGGCGCAAGCCGCUAGCGCUUCAAUUAUUCAAGCCGGUAGAUAUUAGUGGACAGAAUAUCCAUACGAGCAUUUACCGUAGCAACCGAAGAAAGCACCGCGGAAGUGAACCAAGCGCAAGUAUAUAGUAAAGGUGAAUGACAGGGUACUUUCAGCAUAAGUUGCUAUGAGGAUACAAGUGAAACACGCUUAUGGCAUUGAUUGUGCAGUAUUCCACUAGAUCUACUCUGAUGACAACAGAUGCGGGAGAGAAGUCCUAGCUCCUUUUGCGUAGCUAACCAGCAAUCUACGUAUCUGAUUGUAAAAACUGUCCUACUGCAAUUAUUGUCCCGCGCCAUUUCGUUGGUACUACAUUGUAACCCAGCAUUACUGCGGAAACGU
Molecule: long non-coding RNA, 875 nt
Organism: Varroa destructor (honeybee mite)
Lineage: Eukaryota; Metazoa; Arthropoda; Arachnida; Mesostigmata; Varroidae
Source: RefSeq, a predicted model, not a curated record